This 263-nucleotide long non-coding RNA is filed under the name Lathyrus oleraceus (garden pea). Its description in RNAcentral is "Pisum sativum (pea) long non-coding RNA (PSAT_LNC005464)". Lineage: Eukaryota; Viridiplantae; Streptophyta; Magnoliopsida; Fabales; Fabaceae. The record is from RNAcentral.
UCUCAAGUAUCUCUGACAGCUUUCCCCAGCCCAAUAUAUCUCUGCUUUUAAUCAAUGAUAAAAUCUUCUCCCAUGGCGAGGCUGACUUUUAUUUCUUGGGAACAUCUCUUCUUCGACUGACCGCCGCAAUUUCCAAAGCUUGGAAAGGUAUCUCCAGUGUUUCUCUAUUUGCCUCUAUGUAUCUGAACGAAAAAAGGUGACUAACAAACAUGUCUUCUUCUUAUUCGAUGAUUAUCAAUUUAUCAUUAACUAUGAACUUCAAC